UUAUUGUUACUGUAGCUAUUAAGAAGCAGGCACUGAUGCUCGCUGACAGUGUGGAAAGGGUAGAACAACUGGCCAGACAGCUCAACGCCAAACAGCUAAUAGACGUCAGUCAUCUAGACAGUGGAAACACGCUUACAAGUCGAAAAUUGUCGUUUGACGACAUUGCAGAUGAGGGGGUUGAUGAUCUACUACUUCCCUGUUAUAGUCUAGACUCUGUGGUAGGAGUGAUUUUUUACAAGACAUCUACAUUAAUGGUAUAUUAAUACUCAUAGCAAACUGCUGAUGACCCGGACCCCACUGAUCGUGAUGGUGGUAGUUUUAAUCAUCCCACAUAUUCGUGAGUAAUACGAAUACAAAGCAUGUGAUUUAUACCACAAUGCCUGGUACAGUGCUAGUGGUUGGUUGACAAGUCGUCGAAAGACAUCUAUUAGUAAGAAGAUAUAUACCAAGGUACGUUACCGUUUAUAGUAAUAAGCAUAUAAAUACCCAUUAACCUACACAUAGAAAUCAACAAUCAGCACACCUUCCAAGAUUGCAGAAAGGAAGAGGCUCAAGCAUCCAAG
Long non-coding RNA from Halichondria panicea, 563 nucleotides. RefSeq lists it as uncharacterized. The record is from RefSeq and is a predicted model, not a curated record. The transcript has 3 exons. NCBI's taxonomy places the organism in Eukaryota, Metazoa, Porifera, Demospongiae, Suberitida, Halichondriidae.